AUUUUACAACAAAAUAAUUCGCCAGAGGACUACUAGCAAUAGCUUAAAACUCAAAGGACUUGGCGGUGCUUUAUAUCCCUCUAGAGGAGCCUGUUCUAUAAUCGAUAAACCCCGAUAAACCUCACCACCCUUUGCUAAUUCAGUCUAUAUACCGCCAUCUUCAGCAAACCCUCAAAAGGUAGAAUAGUAAGCACAAUCAUUUUACAUAAAAAAGUUAGGUCAAGGUGUAACUUAUGGGGUGGGAAGAAAUGGGCUACAUUUUCUACCCAAGAACACUCCACGAAUGUUUUUAUGAAAUUAAAAACUGAAGGAGGAUUUAGUAGUAAAUUAAGAAUAGAGAGCUUAAUUGAAUAGGGCCAUGAAGCACGCACACACCGCCCGUCACCCUC
RNAcentral lists this ribosomal RNA (389 nucleotides) under Canis aureus (golden jackal). Its description in RNAcentral is "partial 12S ribosomal RNA". It matches the Rfam family "Bacterial small subunit ribosomal RNA", at positions 848 to 1404 of the family's 1533-position model. The record is from RNAcentral. Lineage: Eukaryota; Metazoa; Chordata; Mammalia; Carnivora; Canidae.